CUUGUACAGUAGACACAAAAUAUGCUAAGUUAAUUAUUAUUUCUGUAAAUCAUUUGAAGAAUCGAGUUUUAUCAGAAACAAUACGUUGGAUUGCUGAGCAGCAUGGGUGAAAGAUUUCUACAACAGUACAUCUACAGUAGAUGUAACUAGUAACUAGGAGGAUGGUGGUUGAACUAAUUGCUACAACAUUUUUCCAUGCAGAAAAAAAUAUUGGGACCGAGCAAGGCUAAACCAAACAAAUGCAAAUGCAAAUGUUGGUGUACGAGGCUGCUGGGCUGGCCAAUGCUGACAGUUUUAUCCGACAGUUCCCUGAUGGCUACAGUACCAUUCUGGGGGAGAGAGGAGUUACCGUGUCUGGGGGCCAGAAACAGAGGAUAGCUAUCGCCCGCGCUCUACUGAAAAUCCCAUCCAUCCUCAUAC
This is a long non-coding RNA of Macrosteles quadrilineatus (aster leafhopper), 420 nucleotides long. RefSeq lists it as uncharacterized. The transcript is spliced from 3 exons. Lineage: Eukaryota; Metazoa; Arthropoda; Insecta; Hemiptera; Cicadellidae. The record is from RefSeq and is a predicted model, not a curated record.